This 222-nucleotide long non-coding RNA is filed under the name Brassica napus (rape). Its description in RNAcentral is "long non-coding RNA (BNAP_LNC004922)". The record is from RNAcentral. Lineage: Eukaryota; Viridiplantae; Streptophyta; Magnoliopsida; Brassicales; Brassicaceae.
AACUCACCCAUGUAUUGUGUGUUUGAUUAUGCUAUGUUUACACUAUUCAGUCGUGUCGUUUAUAUAUCACAGCCGUGUCGUUUAUAUAACUCAGCCAUACCUCAAACAUACCCUAAAAUCAGAAAAUGUUUAGAUAACUCAGCCGUAUCGUUUGUAAAAUCAGCAAUACCUCAAACAUACCCUAAAAUCGGAAAACUGAAUUCAAGUACUUUAAGAAGUUAU